UGGCGGCUUGUCGCUCGUUAACAUCAUGGUUGCGAGAGGAAAGUCCGGGCAACACAGAGCAUCACAUUUCUUAACGGGAAGCUGGGGGUGACCUCAGGGUUAAGGUGACAGAAAAUAACCGCCGCACGAAACGCGGUAAGGGUGAAAAGGCGGGGUAAGAGCCCACCGGGCACUGUGGCGACACCGUGUGCCGCACCACCUGUGAGUUGCAAGUUCAUGUAUACCGGCAUCUAAGGGCUGCUCGUCCAUUGCCGGGGGGUAGAACGCUAUACCGGCGCAGCAAUGCGCAGGACAGAUAAAUGACAGGCACCUGCCGUAACGGCAGGCACAUAACCCGGCUUACAGCCAUACUG
This 353-nucleotide RNase P RNA is filed under the name bovine gut metagenome. RNAcentral's name for it is "Bacterial RNase P class A". It matches the Rfam family "Bacterial RNase P class A". Rfam says of the family: Ribonuclease P (RNase P) is a ubiquitous endoribonuclease, found in archaea, bacteria and eukarya as well as chloroplasts and mitochondria. Its best characterised activity is the generation of mature 5'-ends of tRNAs by cleaving the 5'-leader elements of precursor-tRNAs. Cellular RNase Ps are ribonucleoproteins. The record is from RNAcentral.